This is a long non-coding RNA of Piliocolobus tephrosceles (Ugandan red Colobus), 650 nucleotides long. RefSeq lists it as uncharacterized. The transcript is spliced from 4 exons. The record is from RefSeq and is a predicted model, not a curated record. NCBI's taxonomy places the organism in Eukaryota, Metazoa, Chordata, Mammalia, Primates, Cercopithecidae.
GAACAAUUCAGCUGUCUCUUUAGAAAACUUGACAAAAGGAAAUGCUCCCUGCUGAAAAUUUUCUUAGCCUGUUGCACAAAAGAUGAAGUUUGUUUAAGAAAUUGCUGCUAAAGAAAGCGUCAACCCAUUAAGGUAAUAUGGAAGCAAAUAUUCUCAGAAACCAACAGAGACAUUGUGCAGAUUUGGACACUAGAAGAGCCAGCUACCUUCUGUUUUAUUUUAGCUUUGUUGUUUCAUCUUCGUCAUAUCAUAUCCAAGUAAAAUUGGAGGAAAAUGUCAGAAGAAGCUUACAGGCUCAUACUCCCUUCUGUGGCCUUGUUGAAGAAGGUGCUUGCUCCCUUUUGUCUUCUGCCAUGCUUGUAGGGAUCCUGAGGCCUCCAAGCCAUGCUUCCUGUUAAGCCUGCAGAACUGUCCUGGCUAUGAGAAUUCCAUUCACCUCAUUCUUAUCUUUUGCUCUACAAUGUACAGCUGAUGUUUUAUAAUAAAAACAUGGAGUCACGCUAACUCCCACAUGCCCUACCAUUCACUUUCCCCAAGCAGUAACAAAGCAGGCGACUCAGCUAAUAUAAUAUUUAGACUAACAGUGAAGAAAAAGAUCUUUCUCCCUUCUGUACUCUGAAUAAAUAAAUUAGUCUGACCAAAUGAAGAAA